AGCCCAAUCUUAGAAGUUAAGAUCCAUUGUGGAUCAGGUUCAGACCUGAGCAGCAAUAUGGAUAGUGACAGGCCAUAAGCCUUAACUCACACAAAGAAGGGGUGAGGGUAAAGGGAAUUCAUGAUAAACAGCACAUGCAAAGAGAAAGUAGCAUUUUCAUUACAUAACAUGAACAACAAAGUAGACAGGAGUAUAGAAACUAAAGUAAACACAUAAGGAAGAAGCUGAAAUCAAAUUGAGACAUACCAGUUUCAGAAAAACAAAUAAGUGAAGGCAUGUGUCUUGUAAGCCAAAUUGCAAGAAAAUAGUACAAGAGAAUUCAUAAGAGAGUAGAGUAUUGAAAGAGUAUCGCAACCAAGAGUGAGAAUGUUGAAUUUGAAGUGUUCAACAAUCAUGAUGUCUAUAGAAGGGUCGUGCCCCC
Molecule: long non-coding RNA, 421 nt
Filed under: Nicotiana benthamiana
Lineage: Eukaryota; Viridiplantae; Streptophyta; Magnoliopsida; Solanales; Solanaceae
Description: long non-coding RNA (NBEN_LNC003865)
Source: RNAcentral